This 544-nucleotide ribosomal RNA is filed under the name uncultured Ascomycota. RNAcentral describes it as "SSU rRNA". It matches the Rfam family "Eukaryotic small subunit ribosomal RNA", at positions 548 to 1098 of the family's 1831-position model. The record is from RNAcentral. Lineage: Eukaryota; Fungi; Ascomycota.
UUGGAGGGCAAGUCUGGUGCCAGCAGCCGCGGUAAUUCCAGCUCCAAUAGCGUAUAUUAAAGUUGUUGUGGUUAAAAAGCUCGUAGUUGAACCUUGGGCCUGGCUGGCCGGUCCGCCUCACCGCGUGUACUGGUCCGGCCGGGCCUUUCCCUCUGUGGAACCCCAUGCCCUUCACUGGGUGUGGCGGGGAAACAGGACUUUUACUUUGAAAAAAUUAGAGUGCUCCAGGCAGGCCUAUGCUCGAAUACAUUAGCAUGGAAUAAUAGAAUAGGACGUGUGGUUCUAUUUUGUUGGUUUCUAGGACCGCCGUAAUGAUUAAUAGGGACAGUCGGGGGCAUCAGUAUUCAAUUGUCAGAGGUGAAAUUCUUGGAUUUAUUGAAGACUAACUACUGCGAAAGCAUUUGCCAAGGAUGUUUUCAUUAAUCAGGAACGAAAGUUAGGGGAUCGAAGACGAUCAGAUACCGUCGUAGUCUUAACCAUAAACUAUGCCGACUAGGGAUCGGACGAUGUUAUUUUUUGACUCGUUUGGCACCUUACGGGAAAC